UCGAACGGCAGCACGGAGAGCUUGCUCUCUGGUGGCGAGUGGCGAACGGGUGAGUAAUAUAUCGGAACGUGUCCAAUAAUGGGGGAUAACGAGUCGAAAGAUUCGCUAAUACCGCAUACGCCCUACGGGGGAAAGCAGGGGAUCGUAAGACCUUGCGUUAAUGGAGCGGCCGAUAUCUGAUUAGCUUGUUGGUGAGGUAAAGGCUCACCAAGGCGACGAUCAGUAGCUGGUUUGAGAGAACGACCAGCCACACUGGAACUGAGACACGGUCCAGACUCCUACGGGAGGCAGCAGUGGGGAAUUUUGGACAAUGGGGGCAACCCUGAUCCAGCCAUUCCGCGUGAGUGAAGAAGGCCUUCGGGUUGUAAAGCUCUUUCGCAAGGGAAGAAAACUUAUGAUCGAAUAAAUCAUGAGGUUGACGGUACCUUGAUAAGAAGCACCGGCUAACUACGUGCCAGCAGCCGCGGUAAUACGUAGGGUGCGAGCGUUAAUCGGAAUUACUGGGCGUAAAGCGUGCGCAGGCGGUUUUGUAAGUCGGAUGUGAAAUCCCCGGGCUCAACCUGGGAACUGCGUUCGAAACUGCAAGGCUAGAGUGUGUCAGAGGGGGGUAGAAUUCCACGUGUAGCAGUGAAAUGCGUAGAGAUGUGGAGGAAUACCAAUAGCGAAGGCAGCCCCCUGGGAUAACACUGACGCUCAU
Molecule: ribosomal RNA, 697 nt
Filed under: uncultured beta proteobacterium
Lineage: Bacteria; Pseudomonadati; Pseudomonadota; Betaproteobacteria
Description: bacterial SSU rRNA
Rfam family: Bacterial small subunit ribosomal RNA
Source: RNAcentral